GACGAACGCUGGCGGCGUGCUUAACACAUGCAAGUCGAACGGAAAGGCCUGCUUUCCCUUGUGGUUUGCGGGUACUCGAGUGGCGAACGGGUGAGUAACACGUGAGUGAUCUGCCCCCAACUUGGGUAUAAGCCUGGGAAACUGGGUCUAAUUCCCGAUAGUACUGCAGGGUGGUGCCUGUGGUGGAAAACGAUUUUCUAGUGGUUGGGGAUGAGCUCGCGGCCUAUCAGCUUGUUGGUGGGGUAAUGGCCUAGCAAGGCGGCGACGGGUAGCCGGCCUGAGAGGGUGGACGGCCACAUUGGGACUGAGUCACGGCCCAGACGCCUACGGGAGGCAGCAGAGGGGAAUAUUGCACAAUGGGCGGAAGCCUGAUGCAGCGACGCCGCGUGGGGGAUGACGGGCUUCGGGUGGUAAACUCCUUUCGACCGAGAGGAAGCCACCUGGUUGGAAGGGUGGUGACGGUAGUGGUAGAAGAAGCACCGGCUAACUACGUG
RNAcentral lists this ribosomal RNA (494 nucleotides) under uncultured bacterium. RNAcentral's name for it is "partial 16S ribosomal RNA". It matches the Rfam family "Bacterial small subunit ribosomal RNA", at positions 28 to 507 of the family's 1533-position model. The record is from RNAcentral.